Drosophila biarmipes is the source of this 565-nucleotide RNA transcript. RefSeq lists it as uncharacterized. NCBI's taxonomy places the organism in Eukaryota, Metazoa, Arthropoda, Insecta, Diptera, Drosophilidae. The record is from RefSeq and is a predicted model, not a curated record. The transcript has 3 exons.
AAUGAGCUUUGGGAAUAAUUUCAUGCUCAAAAAACAUUUUUUAAAUCUUCUACUGGAAAGGUAGUUAAUUUGCAGUAUUGAUGGCACUUGUAUCCAUUAGAUUGCUCCUCAUAACAAUAAUCGCUGCUAUUUUGUUAAGCACAAACUUGAGAAACGAGUGCGGGAGGCCAAAAUACAGAUUUACAAACAUGCUUUGUGAAUCCUUUAACGAAUCGUAUCCAUCUUUUAAGAGAUGUAAACUUAAUUUACUUGGCAGAGGUCGAAUUGGUGUUGAAGUGUACAUAAAGGUAUUUCAACUGCCUAUAGACAACUCAUGGAUAAAUUGGACCAUUUACCGCCGCUAUAGUGGAUUUCGUCCUUUGUCAGCGCUGAUUUCUGACGCCUUUUUAAAAAAUCAAUUUCCUUUCGUUUGAAGGAUUGUUUAUGAAUGCCACCAUGACACGGUCAAAUUUAAAUCCCUCUUGUCUGUGCAAUGCAUCUAUAAAAUACAACUGCGAUAUGCAACUUACAAAGUUUGGAGGGUGACAAUUUUUUUGAAAGAUAAGAAUAAUUGUUUGUAACUGUU